RNAcentral lists this ribosomal RNA (482 nucleotides) under uncultured bacterium. RNAcentral describes it as "bacterial SSU rRNA". It matches the Rfam family "Bacterial small subunit ribosomal RNA", at positions 28 to 507 of the family's 1533-position model. The record is from RNAcentral.
GACGAACGCUGGCGGCGUGCCUAACACAUGCAAGUCGAGCGGAGUCAGUAAGAGGAAGUUUUCGGAUGGAAUCUUAUUGAUUUAGCGGCGGACGGGUGAGUAACGCGUGAGCGACCAACCUUGCACAGGGGGAUAACGGACCGAAAGGUUCACUAAUACCGCAUGAGACCACGGUGUUGCAUGACACAGGGGUCAAAGGAGGAAUCCGGUGCAAGACGGGCUCGCGUCCGAUUAGGUAGUUGGAGGGGUAACGGCCCACCAAGCCUAUGAUCGGUAGCCGACCUGAGAGGGUGAUCGGCCACAUUGGAACUGAGAUACGGUCCAAACUCCUACGGGAGGCAGCAGUGGGGAAUAUUGGGCAAUGGGGGAAACCCUGACCCAGCAACGCCGCGUGAAGGAAGAAGGUUUUCGGAUUGUAAACUUCUGUCCUUGGUGAAGAGAAGAAGACGGUAGCCAAGGAGGAAGCCCCGGCUAACUACGUG